This 253-nucleotide ribosomal RNA is filed under the name uncultured bacterium. RNAcentral describes it as "partial 16S ribosomal RNA". It matches the Rfam family "Bacterial small subunit ribosomal RNA", at positions 524 to 776 of the family's 1533-position model. The record is from RNAcentral.
UACGAAGGGGGCUAGCGUUGUUCGGAAUUACUGGGCGUAAAGCGUGCGCAGGCGGCUUCUCAAGUCAGGGGUGAAAGCCCAGAGCUCAACUCUGGAAUUGCCUUUGAGACUGAGAGGCUUGAGUACGAGAGAGGUGAGUGGAAUUCCCAGUGUAGAGGUGAAAUUCGUAGAUAUUGGGAAGAACACCGGUGGCGAAGGCGGCUCACUGGCUCGUAACUGACGCUCAUGCACGACAGCGUGGGGAGCGAACAGG